AGCCACCCCCCAGGGUACCCCUUCCCUUCCUGGCUUAAAGUCAGGAACCAGAUGUGCUAUUAUUGUACCCUUUUCCCUUGGCCUAAAGCAGUCUAGGGCUCUUCACUAUCUCUCUCUCUUUUCUUUCUUUCUUCAUGGAAUCUCUCUCUCGCCCAGGCGACAGUGAGACUCCAUCAUCUCAAAAAAAUUUAAAAAUAAAAACCUUCGGCCACUGCUUCCUGGAGUCCUCGCCAUACUUGUCCUUGGCGUGCACUGCCCUCUGGCAGGUCUACCAGCUGCUGUGGAACCCUCACAUUGAAAGUCUCUCCCUCUAUUGAGGUGGUUGGGAUUUCUUCAGCUUCACCCCAUCCCACUAUUCCUAUUCUAGAAUGUUCUUGUUUUACGAGGUCUCAGGCCAGGCCUGGAGCAGGAACCAGAGGGCAGUAAGUGGCUCCUGGGCUGGUGACUGAGCUGAGGUCUGUGCUCCCCACCCCUGCAGCGCAAGCACCAGGAAAUCCGAGCCAUGAGAAGUCAGCUCAAAAAGAUCGAGGACCUGGGGGCCGCCAUGGAGGAGGCCCUCAUCCUGGACAACAAGUACACGGAGCACAGCACCGUGGGCCUCGCCCAGCAGUGGGACCAGCUGGACCAGCUGGGCAUGCGCAUGCAGCACAACCUGGAGCAGCAGAUCCAGGCCAGGAACACAACAGGUGUGACUGAGGAGGCCCUCAAAGAAUUCAGCAUGAUGUUUAAACACUUUGACAAGGACAAGUCUGGCAGGCUGAACCAUCAGGAGUUCAAAUCUUGCCUGCGCUCCCUGGGCUAUGACCUGCCCAUGGUGGAGGAAGGGGAACCUGACCCUGAGUUCGAGGCAAUCCUGGACACGGUGGAUCCGAACAGAGAUGGCCAUGUCUCCCUGCAAGAAUACAUGGCUUUCAUGAUCAGCCGCGAAACUGAGAACGUCAAGUCCAGCGAGGAGAUUGAGAGCGCCUUCCGGGCCCUCAGCUCAGAGGGAAAGCCUUACGUGACCAAGGAGGAGCUCUACCAGAACCUGACCCGGGAACAAGCCGACUACUGCGUCUCCCACAUGAAGCCCUACGUGGACGGCAAGGGCCGCGAGCUCCCCACCGCGUUCGACUACGUGGAGUUCACCCGCUCGCUUUUCGUGAACUGAGCCACUCCCUGGGUCACCCACCCCUCGCUGCUUGCCCUGCGUCGCCUUGCUGCAUGUCCGCUCCUCUGUGUGCUCUCACUUUCCACUGUAACCUUAAGCCUGCUUAGCUUGGAAUAAGACUUAGGAGAAAAUGGUGCUUCACUAACCCGCUUCCGGUCCAGUCACAAUCAUCACGUCACUGUGGGGACCCAGAUCUGUGUCUUGAAGCAGCUGCCCUCAUUCCGACUUCAGAAAAUCGAAGCAUCUGGCUCCUCCCCUUGUUCUCUCUCCCACCCUCCCGCAAAUCUGUUUUCAUGUAAAAGACAAAUAAAUGA
RNAcentral lists this small RNA (1464 nucleotides) under Pan troglodytes (chimpanzee). RNAcentral describes it as "processed transcript". The record is from RNAcentral. Lineage: Eukaryota; Metazoa; Chordata; Mammalia; Primates; Hominidae.